UACGUAGGGUGCAAGCGUUAAUCGGAAUUACUGGGCGUAAAGCGUGCGCAGGCGGUUGUGCAAGACAGAUGUGAAAUCCCCGGGCUUAACCUGGGAAUUGCAUUUGUGACUGUACGGCUAGAGUGUGUCAGAGGGGGGUAGAAUUCCACGUGUAGCAGUGAAAUGCGUAGAGAUGUGGAGGAAUACCGAUGGCGAAGGCAGCCCCCCUGGGAUAACACUGACGCUCAUGCACGAAAGCGUGGGGAGCAAACAGG
This 254-nucleotide ribosomal RNA is filed under the name uncultured bacterium. RNAcentral describes it as "partial 16S ribosomal RNA". It matches the Rfam family "Bacterial small subunit ribosomal RNA", at positions 524 to 776 of the family's 1533-position model. The record is from RNAcentral.